GGUAGGGAUGCUAUCUCUAUUGAGAGACCUUCUCGGCUUGCACCAUACGAGGAACCCAGAGCUGGUUUUCCAGAGAGACCUCCUUCCCGGCCAGGGGCACACGAGGAUCCUAGAGCUGGCCAUUCUGAGAGACCACGUUCUCGACCUGGCUUGUCUGAGAAGUAUAGGCCCGGGUUUCCUGAGAGGCCUUCCCGGCCUGGACUCUAUGAAGAGUCCAGAUCUGUCUUUACUGAGAGACCUUCCGGAUCUGGAUCAUAUGAAGAGACUCGAGCUGGAUUUUCUGAGAAAUCUCCUUCCUUAUCACAGGCAUAUCAAGAUCCCAGAGCUGUUGACUACAUGGAGAGGCCUCGAUCUCGUGGCACUGUAAAUUCCAGGACAAGGCCGAUUGAUGACAGGAAAGCUUCUCAAGGUGGCGGGGUUAGAGGAUUUGUGGGAAGCAGAGACGUGGACAGGUAUAUCUUGCUAACAUUCACCUUCUUUUAAAAAAAAAUUUCUCUUGGUCUUGCAACAUUUACUCAAAGUCCAUGCAAUUGUGUCUUAGCAUGGAUUAUAUACUUGAGAUCUAUUGACUUGGAGUUAGGAUAUGUGAUCCGGACUUGUUAUCAUAUGGCAGGUCAAGGCCGAGGUGGUGAAUUUCAGUUAUUGUGGAUUCUUUGAGCCGUUCUGCUUUUAGUCCUCUGACGUUAGAGCAAAAUAAAACUUCGGCAGCUCUCAUUAAAUCUCUCGCGCUUUGGUUGUGAGAAAUGGAGCUAGAAUUAUUGAAUACUGACAUUGAUAUCGCUUGAUUAAUUGUAAAAUUGCACUCUUUCUUUCUUUUAGUCGCAUAACCUAUUUUGCGCAUUUUUCAUAAGGACUCUAUUGUAAUGCCCGUCUUGCUGCGCCGCCCCGAUUUUGGCUUUUCCCCCUCUCUUUCUGAACCGUAACGUUUUUUUCCCUGUUCUAUAUAAUUUGUUUUCUUCAGCUGUUCUAAUUCAUUCUGCAAUAGUUUGUCUUAUUUUGCUGCUUAUACUCUUUGUAACAUAUUAGUGACGUGGAUGUAACGAUAUUGACGAAAAGAAAAAGAAGUUAUAAUCGUGUGUUCGAUUGUACCAUCAAGAUGAAUUUUGCUACUCUAACAGGCCUUUUGGACAGGUCCAGAUGAUAGGGCUGAGGUGGCAACACAGGGAAUGCUAUAUGGAUAGACAGGGCCUAUGUGGCAGUCCCCUAUUGGGGGGUUGUCUGCCACCAGCCCCUGUCGAAAGAGUUUUAUCUGGCAACACCUUCACCCUAUCACCUCGGCCUGUCCAGAAGGCCCGUCACUAUAGCACUUCUCCCAUCAAGAUACCCUUUUGAGCAUCGCAUCCAUGUAUGUAGUGGAGGUUUAGUUUCCACAAGAUAAAGUUGGUCCAUAUGGGCCGUGUUUGGUUCUUUACUAAUCUUUUCUUCUGGACGAGAUCAAUGUGGAAAAUAGUAAAAUCCACAAAAAUGACGAGUCCGCAGGGGGGAACGUACCCAAAAAUCUCUGGUUCCAUAGACCAGCGCCUUACUCGUUGAACUAUUUAAUAGUUUAUUUUCCUCUUAAGGAUAAUCUGGUCUUUAGCACGUGGCUCAUUUGUGCGACUCUUUUUUCGUAAAUUAUUGAUCUGGAUAAAGACACGUUCUUUCUUGUUCUACUUUUACAUAUUUGUUGUAUUAUAGCGAGUAUAUUAUUUUAAAUAAAGUAUCUAAGGUCCGUUUGAUUACAAAGAUGAAAUUAGGGUGGAAAGAAAAUAAAUUUUAGAGAAUUAAAUUGCCUAGAAAUUAUUUUUUUGGAGAUUGUAAAUUAUUGUGUUUGACCGAUAUAAUUUUUUACGUGAAAAAUGUUGAAAUAAAAAUAUUUUUUGGUGUUUGCUUAACUUUGUUAUACAUAAAAAUUGCCGAUUAAAGAGAUAAUUUACUGGUAUUGGGGAUAAAAUUUGUUUUCAUUGUCAAAAAAAAAAAAUCAUUUAUAUUUUGAUAUUCGUUAGACUUUAUUUUAUAUAAAAAUUGUUAAUUAAAGGGAAAUAUUUUUUUACAAUAAUUCUUAGAAUUUAUUUUUAUUGCCAAAAAAAAAAAUUGAAAAAAAAAACGCGACAGUAACCCAAAAAUUGGAAUUCUAAUUCCAAUUUAAGGAAAAGCUAGAAAUUGGCUUAUACAACAAAAAAUUGGAAAGAUGGAAUUUAGUUUCUAAUUUUUAUAAAAUUGGGGUGCAAUGAAAUAUGACCUAAAAUAGAAUUACAAUGGUCCUUUUUUUAAUCAUGCGUGUGCUUCAUUAGAUUUUAUUUUGUUUGGAGAAUAACUUUAAAACCCAAAUCUCCGAUUCCCCCGUCCCAUUAAAAAAGUACUAUUUAAUUUUUCACGUAGAAUAAGAAAAUUUAGUAAAUAUAGUCAAUAGUAAAUUUUAUUAUCAUUUUUCCUAAUAUAUUCUUAAAUUAAUGUAAUCAAUAUUAAAAGUAAUAAAAUUAUGCAUCCAAUAUUCAAGGUAGUUAAACUAUUUUUGGUAUUAGUAAUUGUUUAACGCAAGAAUCAAUAUGAUUAACAUUCUAAAGUCAUCUAAUACAAAUACAAAUACAAAUUAAUAAAUGUCAUGGAGGAUGAUUGCUUUUUAUUUUUAUUUUUAUUUUUAUUUUUAUUGUUCAACUACAAUUGAAUAAUGAAGUGAUUUAUAUUUGUGAUAACGAAGCCCACUAAAUAAGAGUAUAUUAGGAAAUUAAUAUAAUAACUACGUUCUCAAAUAAAAAAGGAACUAUAAUUUGGGAUAAACAACAAUGGAAACAGGAUUAUCGACGGAGGGAUUAAUUAAUUAAGCCCAAAAAGGAAACUGGAAAAGCAUUAAUGAUUAGGGGCAAUGCCAUCAGCCAACCCAUAAAGCCGUUCUUUAGGACUCCGGAUUCCAAAAAUAGAAUACCAAUAAAUAAACAACUUUUGAACAGAUUAUAAUCAGAAACACGCAAAAGUACCGGGCCAUAUGUCGCUUGUCACCCAAUCAGUUUGAUUUUAACUUAUAAGCACUUUCAAGAUUGUUAUUGAUCAUAAGUAGUGCUCUCAAUGAGAACCAUAUGGAAGCCCCAUGAUCACACACGUGGCAUUGGGUCAAGAGCGAAGGAGUUAUGAAAGUAAUUUCAUUAACGGCCGAGAUAGUUAUAUUGGAUUCUCCGAAGUGGUUUGUAUCCAAAGUGGGGGUACUUCUUUCUAUCAAACCCCUUAAUGUCUGAAGUCCCUAACGCCCAGAGGAGGGUCUGAUAAGCGUAUCUUUAGGAUUAAUUGAUGUGACGUUCUCAUUAAAUAUGUAUCAAGAAUGUCAGCCUAAGAGUAUAGAGUGGUUGACCUCUUGUCAAAUGUCUGUCAAUGUAAUUAAUAUGAGAUAGAGUUGAUGCGACACCAGAAUCUAACAGAUUAGACCACUUGGAUUGGAUCCAACGGUGACCACAUCGACUUGAUCAUUAUAAAUAGCUGUUUGUAUAACGUUUUGAUGGAUGGAUCUUUAGACAUAAAAAGGGUAUUGCUUGUUUCUCUCUAGAAAGAUAAACCACUCAUUGUUUUAUAUUUAGUUCUUAUCUUACAUGUUUACUUAAAACAUAUGAGACUAUCUUACAUUAUUAAUCGAAUGUGUGUCUAAGCAUAAAAUCUAUAUAUUGAAGAGUACGUCCACGUGUACAUCAUAUCGAACGACACCUUGACACAUUUUUGAAAGUCAAGAAAGAUAAUUAUAUUUUUUUAUGUGAAGCCACCUGGAUUAUUUGGAACAAAAGCAUAUAAAAGAUAAAAAUACUAUUAUGAUAAAAUUAAAUUUUGCAAUUAGCUAGCCUUUAUAAGAAAAUUAAGAAUGUUGUAAUAACAAGUUAGUAUCUUCUAUUCGUUUCAUUGCAGUUCCAACAAUAGUAAAGAUUCAAAAAUCCUUUAUUAGUAAUGUAAUAACAGUCCUAAAAAUAGUAAUGUAAUAAUGGUCUUCAAAAAUCCUUAUAGUAAUUUAAUUAUUAUAGAAAACAUGUUUCACUUCAAAUUUUACCGACACAAAAUUGAGAACGGGAGGGUCGAGUCAUAGUUUAACAGACCACGUGAAUUCGGACCACCUUAAAACUGUCUUUUCCUUCGUCUCUUCAAAUCAUUCACUGUUUUUUGCUUUGUCCUCUCCUGCAUAGCUUUCUCUAUCAUGGAAUCCCAUUCUCAGAUAAUAUUAUUAUUUCUUACAGUAAUCUUAUCACUUUCAAUUCCAAAUCCAGUAUAUGCUAAAACCAUUUGUGAGUUUCCAGCUAUAUUUAACUUUGGCGACUCGAAUUCUGAUACCGGUGGCUUGUCCGCGGCGUUCGGCCAGGCUGCGCCGCCCAAUGGAGAGUCGUACUUCCAUGGACCGGCAGGGCGGUACUGCAACGGCAGGCUGGUUAUUGAUUUUAUUGGUAAGAACUAAGAAGACAAUUUUUUUUUUCUUCUGCUUGCACAUUCAUUUAUACAAGAAGGAUAGAAUAAUUUACAGUUGAAGUUCUUGCAAUUGGUACUCUGUGCAUAUUUUGGCGAAGCUUUUAAGUAUUUCGCCAUCUUGUGUGCUUAUUACCAAAAUAAGCCAAUAACAUACUGAAAACUGUAGAAAAAAAGUCUUUUGUAUGGGCUAAUUAUGACAAUAAAUUGAGUUGGAUUUGUUCCUUCGUUUUGAUAGAUCAAAGUAGAUCACUAGAUUGACUUUUUUUUUUUUUUUUUGUGAGAACAUUGAAAUCAUAUAUCUACUUGUCAAAACUGAUGCUCCGAGAAAUUGGAGUUCAAAGUGUACCGUUUAACAUGUUGGAGGAAAAACAAUUAUAGUUGUCUUACAUAGGAAAAUGAUCAAGGCAAAAAUUGGUUUAUAUACGACUACUCAUGUGUGACAUAGAGGUUCUUUUCACGGGCGUGCAAAUUAUGGACCAAAUUUUACGUUAGGCCUUAUAACUUAUGUGUGAGCGCAACCUGCGUACAUGUUGGAUCAAACUGACCAAAAAUUGGCCCCCUAGGAGGUUCCGUUUUGCCUAACGGACGCUCAAACAAAAUCUCGAGUACCUACGGUGAGGAGAAGAAUUUGUUCUAAGAACAUCGUGUUUACACAGACCUUGAUUUGCUAAUUUCUUCUCUCCAUGACUUGAUAUUUUCCUUGGUAACUAUUUAUUUCUAGUAUGUUCUUUUUCAUUAUAUCACAUAUUAACAAAAACUAAGCCAAAUAGUUUGAUGUGGACAGUUUGUUAAUAUUUCUAUCUCAAUUAUAUUCAGUUCUUAAUUGCUGACACCAUUGACGCUGUCAUUUCAGCUGAGAGCUUGGGACUACCAUAUUUGAACGCUUUCCUCGAUGCGUUAGGCUCAAAUUUCAGCCACGGUACCAAUUUCGCGCUGCUGGUUCAACCAUUAGACCCCAAAACACGACUUUACAUCAGAGCGGUUUUAGUCCCUUUUCAUUAAACGUACAAUAUUAUCAAUUCAAUGAUUUUCAACAUAGAUCUCAGAUUCUCCGAAGUAAAGGUAGUUAUUAGCAUUUAAUUACCACAAUUUUUCAGUUCAUUAAUUUACUCAAAUGUCUACUUUCUCAAACAAUUUAGUUAAUAGACAUCAGAAUGGAAGACCAAAACUAACAUGGCAUGCAGUAGUAAUCGAAUUGUUCUUUUUGUGUCAUUAUGAAGGGGGAGUUUUCAAGGGACUAUUGCCUAAGGACGUCGAUUUUUCGCGUGCCUUGUACACAUUUGAUAUUGGCCAAAAUGAUUUAACUGCUGGUUAUUUCCUCAACAUGAGCAUUGAUCAAGUCAGAGCAUAUGUUCCUGAUGUUCUAGAUCAAUUCAAAACCAUUAUGAAGGUAAAGAUACUAUAACAUUCUGAAUUCGACUCUUGUCACCCGUAUUUAAUAUACGCGCGUUAGUAGUUUAUUAACGAUCAAGCAAAAUUUUUUGUCUUCGUUUCGUGCAGUAUAUAUAUGAUCAUGGAGGUAGGUCGUUUUGGAUACACAACACUGGACCGGUUGGUUGUCUACCGUAUAUUCUGGACCGUCUUCAAAUCACUGCCGGACAAGUUGAUAAGGCUGGAUGUGCAGCCCCUUUUAACGAGGUUGCUCAAUAUUUCAACCGUGGGUUGAAGAAGGCUGUGAUUCGUCUCCGAAAGGAUCUUCCAUUAGCAGCCUUCACUUAUGUUGAUGUCUAUUCAGUGAGGUACAAGCUCAUCAGUCAAGCAAAGAAGUAUGGUGAGUAUUUCCUUACAGGGGUAAAAAUCUUGUUAGUCCCUCAACUUAUAUAGUUGUUUGCUUGGUUACUGUAUUUUUUUUCCUUCUAAAUUUAGUCACUGAACAUUCAUUUCGAUUUUAGUUUAGUCAUUCUGCAUGCUAGAUUGACAAAAAAGGCAUCGACAAUGGCAAUGGCAAUAUUGACACAUUGGCAUUUCUGUUAAUUUAACUGGCUUGAAUAAAAUAAAACAAAAAUAAAAAUCUGGUGACCAAUUCGUCAGUCGUUUUAAAAGUAAAAAUUGUUGGCGAAAUCAAAACAACCAUAUAAGUUAUGUGACUAACAUGUUUAUACCCGCUCCUUCACCAUUGACAAAAUCAAGAUUUAAACUUCACGGUAAAGUGGCUAUGUAACACCGAAAAAUGUUCAUGGACGAAGAAAAAUAAGUUAAAAUUUUGUCUAUUAUUCUAUUCAAUACUGCAUACUGACCACGUUGUAAAUAUUUACAGGGUUCGUCCACCCUCUACGAGCUUGUUGUGGGCAUGGAGGGAGAUACAACUACAACGUACAUUAUGGUUGUGGAAGCAAAAUUGAAGUGAAUGGGAAAGAAAUAAUGGUGGGAAAAUCAUGCGAGGAUCCAUCAGUUAUGAUAAACUGGGAUGGAGUACACUAUACUGAGGCUGCAAACAAAUGGGUUUUUGAUCAAAUUGUGAAUGGCUCAUUUUCAGAUCCACCAAUUCCCUUGAAAAUGGCUUGCCAUAGGCAAUACUAAGGUAAUGCAAAUUCUUGUUUUUGAGUCAACGCACACUAAAGGAAAAAUGAUAUUUUACAAUAAAUAUUUCAAUGAUCAAAUCAAUUUGGCCGUUAAAAAUUAUUUUUAACAACCAAAUGAUAAGUUUGAUCGUAGAAAAUAGAUGAUGAACAGUCGAAUUUUGAAUUAGUUGGAAAUAUAUUAUAACGACCAAAAUUUUAGUCGUUAAUUCUAUAUAUUCUGUGACUAAAUUAAUAUUGGUCGUUGAGUGGACACCUAAUCAAGAAAUCCCACCAAAAUAUAUAUUGAUAUUCAAUGACAACGUAAUUGUUUGUUAGAAACACAAAUAAUAUGACAUAUAUACAACGGCCAUAGUUUCUGGUCGUUAACAUAGAACAAUAACAACUAAUUGAAUCCCACUUCUGAAAGUAGAGAAAAAUUCAACAUUCAAUGACCAAUACUACGUAGUCAUCAAAGAUGAUAGUCAAUGACUAUAUAUCUGUAGUUGUUGAAGUUGACAACAACUUGGUUACCAGCUCUAAUUUGGCGUCAAAAUAAUUUUCAACAUUUAAAAACUAUACUAUUGGUUGUUGAGAAUGAUUAUAUAGCAAAAACGUGUUUUAAUUGUUUAAAAUUUAAUCUAGGGUAAUUAUCUGUAAGCAUAAUAUUCAUUGUUAAAAGUAUUUAAAAAAAAUUCAAAUCGAGUAUGUCCUUUAAUAAUUGUGUUUUGUUAGAGAAGUUAUUUCAAAAUAACGUUAACAUAUUCCUAAGCAACAUUAUUUUAUUUUUAUCGUAAACAUGUUGACUUUACAUUGUAUAUCACUAUGGCAAAAGAAUUUGCCUUGGCUUGAACGAUGCAAAAAAUAAAAAUAAAAUCAUACUAACAAUAAAAUCACCUCAUUGGUUUGGUCAGAUGAGAUGCGAAAUGAGCAAGUAUUUUUGCACUGUUUUAAUGUCGGGUGGAACAGGGUGAUUUUGGGUGCUCCAUCUCAUUUAAAUAAAAAAAAUAAAUGAGGCUGGUGCCUCGAACUCACUUAAUUCCAAACUUAACUGGGUUACAGAGAAAAUGUGAAAGAAAAUCCUUUUGGCAUGACAGCACACAGAAUGUACGAUCUGCACCGAAUCCACCCUAUUGUCAAUAAAAGUGUUGACACAUAAAAAUUCAGCCCAAAUCGAACAGCCCAGAGAAUAAAACCCAAUGGGAGGAUCCCCAAAUCAGAUAGCCCAAAGAACGAAAUUCAAUUGAACGAAUCAAGGUGAAUGCCCAAAUAAGGGGCCCAAUAGUGCGGUAACGCCAUCGUCCAAGUUUGCAAGUCGCUCAGAGUCUGAACGAAUAGAGUGGCAUACGGUCGUCCAAAGUCUCGCCCAAAUGUUCAAAUCGCCCAAGGUAUCAACAAACAUAACGCAUUAUGAUGCAGGUAUUGAGGCAGUUGCUAAAGUAACUUUAUCACGUUCCACGACUCGAGGGGUUCAAUCCAAAGCGGUUGAACGAUGCAAGAUAAUGGCAGCAGUUAAAAGGACAGUUGCAUGACAAAAUGGCCACUACAAAGAAAGUGGGUAGUUAUAGGGCGAUCAAGCAGUUUUUUAGAGCAGUUAAUCACAAAGCGAUCGCCUAUGAAGUAUAAAAGAGAGAAAGAACUGUAGGGGGAGGUUUCUAAUUUUGUCAGCUGCCCUUGAUUUCACACUUAGGUUUUACUUUUGUUGCAAUCCAUAUUGAAUAAAUACAUAUACUAAAACAGGAUGAAUGCAGGCUUUGAUGUCAUAAUUUUGCGAAGUUAACAUUGGGUGAGGGGAGUUGUAGUUGUAUAUGUAUAUAACAUUAAAUCUCAUCUUUUUACAUUGGUAAUGGCUAUGGAAUACCCUGGUCUGUGUUGGCAUGUAGUAUCAGACGAGAAUUGAAAAUUUUGAUAUUUGACAUCACUUCUUUAUUUUGACCUCUAAUUAUUAAUUAAAAAUUUUUAAUUGUCGCAUAGGUGCUUUAACUAAAGGUUACACUGCAAAGACAAAUCAUUUUGGAAUGAGAUCAACUUACUAAAAGCAGAAUAAGAUCAUCCAAUCAUGGACAUAGGUUUUAAUAUAUUUUUGUUGUAAUUGUGGUCUAGUUUCUUCUGCUUGUUUGUGUCUUCUUGCAACUUUAUCCAUGUAAGUCCAUAUAAAUCUUGUUCCUGGAUACUGCAACUUUACAAAAAAAUAUGCUCAUCAAAUAUGUUUUUAACUAAUGAUAACAGUAGCAUGUUCAGUUUGGACACGCCUUAUGACUAUUGAGCUGCAGUGUUAAGUGUGAAUGUUUUGUGCGCUUGUUUUGAAGCAAGCUGCACCUGUUUCUAAAAUAAACAAUAAAAUUAGGACAAAAUGCAGAAAAAAAUGGAAAUUAUUAGACUAACUGGGAAGUAAUGUUUCAGGCCUGAGACAGAAGAGGAAAACAGUUUGAAAGAAGAAAUUGAGCACCUGAAAAAGGAAUUUCUGGAAAAAUCUGGUGAAGAGCAAAGCUGUUUACAGGAUCUUAUUCUUAAAAGAGAGAAGGAUUUGGAACUGCUGAGGCGGGAAUUGGAUGACAAGGUUCGUUAUAGCCAGAAAGUGUUUGAAAGGCCCGGUUCUGGAGCUGGUAGGGAUGCUAUCUCUAUUGAGAGACCUUCUCGGCUUGCACCAUACGAGGAACCCAGAGCUGGUUUUCCAGAGAGACCUCCUUCCCGGCCAGGGGCACACGAGGAUCCUAGAGCUGGCCAUUCUGAGAGACCACGUUCUCGACCUGGCUUGUCUGAGAAGUAUAGGCCCGGGUUUCCUGAGAGGCCUUCCCGGCCUGGACUCUAUGAAGAGUCCAGAUCUGUCUUUCCUGAGAGACCUUCUCGAUCUGGAUCAUAUGAAGAGACUCGAGCUGGAUUUUCUGAGAAAUC
RNAcentral lists this long non-coding RNA (9809 nucleotides) under Olea europaea (common olive). RNAcentral describes it as "long non-coding RNA (OEUR_LNC000177)". The record is from RNAcentral. Lineage: Eukaryota; Viridiplantae; Streptophyta; Magnoliopsida; Lamiales; Oleaceae.